Molecule: non-coding RNA, 98 nt
Organism: Mycena leptocephala
Lineage: Eukaryota; Fungi; Basidiomycota; Agaricomycetes; Agaricales; Mycenaceae
Source: the annotation of a GenBank genome assembly
GGCUUGAUGGUGUAGUGGUUACACCUCCUCUUUGAUUCCGCGGAUUUGUUAGUUUGUAAUUUAUGAGGAAGUUCCCGGUUCGAACCCGGGUCAGGCCA